Molecule: ribosomal RNA, 253 nt
Filed under: uncultured bacterium
Lineage: Bacteria
Description: partial 16S ribosomal RNA
Rfam family: Bacterial small subunit ribosomal RNA
Source: RNAcentral
UACGAGGGGCGCUAGCGUUGUUCGGAAUUACUGGGCGUAAAGGGCGUGUAGGCGGUACCAUAAGUCAGAUGUGAAAGCCCUAGGCUUAACCUAGGAGGUGCAUUUGAUACUGUGGAACUAGAGAUCGAGAGAGGUAAGUGGAAUUACGAGUGUAGAGGUGAAAUUCGUAGAUAUUCGUAAGAACACCAGUGGCGAAGGCGACUUACUGGCUCGAUACUGACGCUGAGGCACGAAAGCGUGGGGAGCAAACAGG